UCUCUCCUCUCAAUCAUUGUUCCAAACACUCUUAAGAACCUAAAUGAAGAUCAUCGUCAACAAUCGUCUUGAUUGACAGUUAUUGUGGAUUUGGAAGAACGAUACACAAAAUCCCUUACAUCAAAGGUAUUUUUAUCAUUUGAGCAUUUGUUAUUUUGCUUUUUAUUACUUUGAUUUUGCAUUAGGAUGUUAUUUGUUUUGAUCGGUUACUGUAAAAAAUAUGGCCAUGAUGCCACCAAUGUUGGUGAUGAAGGUUUAGGCAAAAGUGAGGUUUCUUGUUUGUUGGCUGGUAUGGUUAUGUGAUUGACUUUACUUUCACUUCCCAGUCGUUGAGUAUGCAGCCGUGGAAGAUUUAUUCUCUUGGUUUGAAGAUGAAAUAUUCCAUAUCUUGGCUUGCCAUCCAAG
Molecule: long non-coding RNA, 405 nt
Filed under: Helianthus annuus (common sunflower)
Lineage: Eukaryota; Viridiplantae; Streptophyta; Magnoliopsida; Asterales; Asteraceae
Source: RNAcentral